CCUACGGGUGGCAGCAGUGGGGAAUAUUGGACAAUGGGCGAAAGCCUGAUCCAGCCAUGCCGCGUGUGUGAAGAAGGCCUUCGGGUUGUAAAGCACUUUCAGUGGGGAAGAAAGCCUUGGGCUAAUACCCUCGAGGAAGGACAUCACCCACAGAAGAAGCACCGGCUAACUCCGUGCCAGCAGCCGCGGUAAUACGGAGGGUGCGAGCGUUAAUCGGAAUUACUGGGCGUAAAGCGCGCGUAGGCGGUCUGAUAAGCCGGUUGUGAAAGCCCCGGGCUCAACCUGGGAACGGCAUCCGGAACUGUCAGGCUAGAGUGCAGGAGAGGAAGGUAGAAUUCCCGGUGUAGCGGUGAAAUGCGUAGAGAUCGGGAGGAAUACCAGUGGCGAAGGCGGCCUUCUGGACUGACACUGACGCUGAGGUGCGAAAGCGUGGGUAGCAAACAGGAUUAGAUACCCUGGUAGUC
Molecule: ribosomal RNA, 464 nt
Filed under: Vreelandella stevensii
Lineage: Bacteria; Pseudomonadati; Pseudomonadota; Gammaproteobacteria; Oceanospirillales; Halomonadaceae
Description: partial 16S ribosomal RNA
Rfam family: Bacterial small subunit ribosomal RNA
Source: RNAcentral